RNAcentral lists this ribosomal RNA (254 nucleotides) under uncultured bacterium. RNAcentral describes it as "partial 16S ribosomal RNA". It matches the Rfam family "Bacterial small subunit ribosomal RNA", at positions 524 to 776 of the family's 1533-position model. The record is from RNAcentral.
CACGUAGGGGGCAAGCGUUGUCCGGAUUUAUUGGGCGUAAAGAGCUCGUAGGCGGUUCGGUAAGUCGGGUGUGAAACCUCCAGGCUCAACCUGGAGACGCCACCUGAUACUGCUGUGACUCGAGUCCGGUAGGGGAGCGUGGAAUUCCUGGUGUAGCGGUGAAAUGCGCAGAUAUCAGGAGGAACACCAGCGGCGAAGGCGGCGCUCUGGGCCGGAACUGACGCUGAGGAGCGAAAGCUAGGGGAGCAAACGGG